This 944-nucleotide ribosomal RNA is filed under the name uncultured archaeon. Its description in RNAcentral is "bacterial SSU rRNA". It matches the Rfam family "Archaeal small subunit ribosomal RNA", at positions 364 to 1316 of the family's 1478-position model. The record is from RNAcentral.
AGUGUGACGGGCAUUAGAGUGCGUCGUUGAGGAUGGCCUUUUACCCAGUGUAAGGAACUGGGGGAAUAAAGGGGGGGCAAGUCUGGUGUCAGCCGCCGCGGUAAUACCAGCCCCCUGAGUGGUAGGGACGAUUAUUUGGCCUAAAGCGUCCGUAGCCGGCCUGGUAAGUCUUUCGUCAAAUCUGACGAUUCAAUCGUUAGACCGCGGAAGAUACUGCCGGGCUAGAGGAUGGGAGAGGUCGACGGUAGUCCUGGUGUAGGGGUGAAAUCCUAUAAUCCCAGGAGGACCACCAGUGGCGAAGCGGGUCGACUAGAACAUGCCUGACGGUGAUGGACGAAAGCUGGGGGAGCGAACCGGAUUAGACACCCGGGUAGUCCCAGCUGUAAACGAUGCGGGCUAGGUGUUGGAACAGCCAUGAGCUGCUCCAGUGCCGCAGAAAAGUUGUUAAGCCCGCCGCCUGGGAAGUACGGCCGCAAGGCUGAAACUUAAAGGAAUUGGCGGGGGAGCACCACAAGGGGUGAAGGCUGCGGUUCAAUUGGAGUCAACGCCGGGAAACUUACCAGGGCUGACAGCAGAAUGAAGGUCAGGCUGAAGGUCUUACCAGACAAGCUGAGAGGAGGUGCAUGGCCGUCGCCAGUUCGUGCCGUGAGGUGUCCUGUUAAGUCAGGCAACGAACGAGACCCCCACUGCUAGUUGCCAGCGGAUUCCAACGGAAUGCCGGGCACACUAGUGGAACUGCCGCCGAUAAGGCGGAGGAAGGGGGGGACUACGGCAGGUCAGUAUGCCCCGAAUGCCUUGGGCCACACGCGGCCUGCAAUGGUAUGGACAGAGGGUUCCGACCUCGAAAGGGGAAGGUAAUCUCUAAACCCUACCUCAGUUGGGAUUGAGGGUUGAAACCCACCCUCAUGAACAUGAAUCCCUAUAAUCGCGCCUAUCAUCGCCGA